This 301-nucleotide ribosomal RNA is filed under the name uncultured bacterium. RNAcentral's name for it is "partial 16S ribosomal RNA". It matches the Rfam family "Bacterial small subunit ribosomal RNA", at positions 509 to 808 of the family's 1533-position model. The record is from RNAcentral.
CAGCGCCGCGGGAAUACGGAGGGUGCAAGCGUUAAUCGGAAUUACUGGGCGUAAAGCGCACGCAGGCGGUCUGUCAAGUCGGAUGUGAAAUCCCCGGGCUCAACCUGGGAACUGCAUUCGAAACUGGCAGGCUAGAGUCUUGUAGAGGGGGGUAGAAUUCCAGGUGUAGCGGUGAAAUGCGUAGAGAUCUGGAGGAAUACCGGUGGCGAAGGCGGCCCCCUGGACAAAGACUGACGCUCAGGUGCGAAAGCGUGGGGAGCAAACAGGAUUAGAGACCCCUGUAGUCCCUGUCUCUUAUACC